Molecule: ribosomal RNA, 253 nt
Filed under: uncultured bacterium
Lineage: Bacteria
Description: partial 16S ribosomal RNA
Rfam family: Bacterial small subunit ribosomal RNA
Source: RNAcentral
UACGAAGGGGGCUAGCGUUGUUCGGAAUCACUGGGCGUAAAGGGCGCGUAGGCGGCUAUGCAAGUCAGGCGUGAAAUCCCGGGGCUCAACCCCGGAAUUGCGCUUGAUACUGUGUGGCUUGAGUCCGGGAGAGGAUGGCGGAAUUCCCAGUGUAGAGGUUAAAUUCGUAGAUAUUGGGAAGAACACCAGUGGCGAAGGCGGCCAUCUGGACCGGUACUGUCGCUGAGGCGCGAAAGCGUGGGGAGCAAACAGU